RNAcentral lists this transfer RNA (99 nucleotides) under Terfezia boudieri ATCC MYA-4762. RNAcentral's name for it is "tRNA-Ser". It matches the Rfam family "tRNA". Rfam says of the family: Transfer RNA (tRNA) molecules are approximately 80 nucleotides in length. Their secondary structure includes four short double-helical elements and three loops (D, anti-codon, and T loops). Lineage: Eukaryota; Fungi; Ascomycota; Pezizomycetes; Pezizales; Pezizaceae. The record is from RNAcentral.
GACGUCGUGCCCGAGUGGUUAAGGGGAGUGAUUAGAAUGAGCAUCUGCCCAAUCAUCACUUACGUUCUGCGUGCGCAAGUUCGAGUCUUGUCGACGUCG